GCCUAAUACAUGCAAGUCGAGCGAGAAGACGUAGCAAUACGUUUGUAAAGCGGCGAACGGGUGAGGAAUACAUGGGUAACCUACCCUCGAGUGGGGAAUAACUAGCCGAAAGGUUAGCUAAUACCGCGUACGCUUCUUGGACUUCGGUUCAGGGAGGAAAGCGAUACCGUGGGUAUCGCGCUCUUGGAUGGGCUCAUGUCCUAUCAGCUUGUUGGUGAGGUAACGGCUCACCAAGGCUUCGACGGGUAGCUGGUCUGAGAGGACGAUCAGCCACACUGGCACUGCGACACGGGCCAGACUCCUACGGGAGGCAGCAGUAAGGAAUAUUGCGCAAUGGGCGAAAGCCUGACGCAGCGACGCCGCGUGGGGGAUGAAGGUCUUCGGAUUGUAAACCCCUUUCGGGAGGGAAGAUGGAAUGGGGUAACCCAUUCGGACGGUACCUCCAGAAGCAGCCACGGCUAACUUCGUGCCAGCAGCCGCGGUAAUACGAAGGUGGCAAGCGUUGUUCGGAUUUACUGGGCGUACAGGGAGCGUAGGCGGACGUUUAAGUGUGGCCUGAAA
This 561-nucleotide ribosomal RNA is filed under the name uncultured soil bacterium. RNAcentral describes it as "bacterial SSU rRNA". It matches the Rfam family "Bacterial small subunit ribosomal RNA", at positions 46 to 599 of the family's 1533-position model. The record is from RNAcentral.